GAUCCGUCGGUGCGGCGGGCAGCGACCGCGGGCUCACGCCCCGCUCGACCGCUUCGACGACCUCGACGAGGUGUUCGAUCCGCUGGUCGAUCG
Molecule: transfer RNA, 93 nt
Filed under: Nocardioides daphniae
Lineage: Bacteria; Bacillati; Actinomycetota; Actinomycetes; Propionibacteriales; Nocardioidaceae
Description: tRNA-Val
Source: RNAcentral